Molecule: ribosomal RNA, 362 nt
Filed under: uncultured archaeon
Lineage: Archaea
Description: bacterial SSU rRNA
Rfam family: Archaeal small subunit ribosomal RNA
Source: RNAcentral
CUAAACGUCCGUAGCCGGUUUGGUACAUUCGUGGGUAAAUCAAACAGCUUAACUGGUUGAAUUCUGCGAGCACGGCCAGACUUGGGACCGGGAGAGGUGUGGGGUACUCGCAGGGUAGGGGUAAAAUCCUGUCAUCCUGAGGGGACCACCUGUUGCGAAGGCGCCACACUAGAACGGAUCCGACGGUCAGGGACGAAGCCUAGGGGCACGAACCGGAUUAGAUACCCGGGUAGUCCUAGGUGUAAACGCUGUGGACUUGGUGUUGGGGAUGCUCCGAGGAUUCUCGGUGCCGGAGCGAAGAUGUUAAGUCCACUGCCUGGGGAGUACGGUCGCAAGGCUGAAACUUAAAGGAAUUGGCGGGG